RNAcentral lists this non-coding RNA (26 nucleotides) under Rattus norvegicus (Norway rat). The record is from RNAcentral. Lineage: Eukaryota; Metazoa; Chordata; Mammalia; Rodentia; Muridae.
GGCCAGAAGUCCUAGCCAGUGCCACC